UACAGAGGUGGCAAGCGUUGUUCGGAAUUACUGGGCGUAAAGGGCGCGUAGGCGGCCUUCUAAGUCAGACGUGAAAUCCCCCGGCUUAACCUGGGAACUGCGUCUGAUACUGGGAGGCUUGAGUAUGGGAGAGGGAUGUAGAAUUCCAGGUGUAGCGGUGAAAUGCGUAGAUAUCUGGAGGAAUACCGGUGGCGAAGGCGGCAUCCUGGACCAUUACUGACGCUGAGGCGCGAAAGCGUGGGGAGCAAACCGG
Molecule: ribosomal RNA, 253 nt
Filed under: uncultured bacterium
Lineage: Bacteria
Description: partial 16S ribosomal RNA
Rfam family: Bacterial small subunit ribosomal RNA
Source: RNAcentral